RNAcentral lists this ribosomal RNA (903 nucleotides) under Pseudamia zonata (paddlefish cardinalfish). RNAcentral's name for it is "partial 16S ribosomal RNA". The stretch from base 228 to 699 matches the Rfam family "Bacterial large subunit ribosomal RNA", at positions 620 to 1300 of the family's 2925-position model. Lineage: Eukaryota; Metazoa; Chordata; Actinopteri; Kurtiformes; Apogonidae. The record is from RNAcentral.
AACCUAACAGCUAGCUACAACAAAAAUACAACAACCAAACAUCAAUACCCCCGAAUAUAGAUACCCCCCCCAACAAACCAUUUUUCCACCCUAGUAAGGGAGACAGAAAAGGACCUACCAAUUAAGCGAUAGAAAAAGUACCGCAAGGGAAAGCUGAAAGAGAAAUGAAACAACCCAGUAAAGAACACCAAAGCAGAGAUAAACCCUCGUACCUUUUGCAUCAUGAUUUAGCAAGUACAUCCAAGCAAAGAGCACUUUAGUUUGAACCCCCGAAACUAAGUGAGCUACUCCAAGACAGCCAAACAUGUGGGCAAACCCGUCUCUGUGGCAAAAGAGUGGGAAGAGCUUUGAGUAGAGGUGACAGACCUACCGAACUUAGUUAUAGCUGGUUGCCUGGGCCCCGAAUAGAAGUUCGACCUUUUAUACUUCUACCCUCCCCACGACUCAUCAACCACCGACACAAGAAUAUAAAAGAGCUAGUCAAAGAGGGUACAGCCCCUUUGAAAAAAGACACAACUUUACCAGGAGGAUAAAGAUCAUAAACCACAAGGAACCAGUGUUUUAGUGGGCCUAAAAGCAGCCACCUAAUAAGAAAGCGUUAAAGCUCAAACACAACAUACCCCCUUAAUACUGAAAAACAAUCCUACGCCCCCAUUACAACCAGGCCACCCCAUGCCACCAUGGGAGAGAUUAUGCUAAUAUGAGUAAUAAGAAAGGCCUCCUAAGCCUUUCUCCUAGCGCAAGUGUACAUCGGAACGAACCAACACCGAAAACUAACGACCCCAAUAAAAGAGGGAAUUGGACCACCAAUUAAAAUCACAAGAAAAAAGUCCUAAAACAACCGUUACCCCCACACUGGUGCACAUACAAGGAAAGACUAAAAGGAAAAGAAGGAACUCGGCA